RNAcentral lists this ribozyme (74 nucleotides) under Crocodylus porosus (Australian saltwater crocodile). RNAcentral's name for it is "Mammalian CPEB3 ribozyme (ENSCPRG00005004919.1)". It matches the Rfam family "Mammalian CPEB3 ribozyme". Rfam says of the family: The mammalian CPEB3 ribozyme is a self cleaving RNA located in the second intron of the CPEB3 gene which belongs to a family of genes regulating messenger RNA polyadenylation. This ribozyme is highly conserved and found only in mammals. The record is from Rfam by way of RNAcentral. Lineage: Eukaryota; Metazoa; Chordata; Crocodylia; Crocodylidae.
UGAGAAUUCAAGGCCAUAGCAGAAGUGCUCAUGAUACAACCCUGUCAGAUUCCAAUGAAUCUGCAAUUUUUGCU